This 481-nucleotide ribosomal RNA is filed under the name uncultured bacterium. RNAcentral describes it as "partial 16S ribosomal RNA". It matches the Rfam family "Bacterial small subunit ribosomal RNA", at positions 28 to 523 of the family's 1533-position model. The record is from RNAcentral.
GACGAACGCUGGCGGCGUGCCUAACACAUGCAAGUCGAACGGGGUAAAGCCCUUCGGGACUUUACUUAGUGGCGAACGGGUGAGUAACGCGUGAGGAACCUGCCUUUCAGUGGGGGACAACAGUUGGAAACGACUGCUAAUACCGCAUGACGCUUCUUGGGGGCAUCCCUGGGAAGUAAAAGAUUUAUUGCUGAAAGAUGGCCUCGCGUCUGAUUAGCUAGUUGGGGGGGUAACGGCCCACCAAGGCGACGAUCAGUAGCCGGUCUGAGAGGGUGAAGGGCCAAAUUGGGACUGAGAUACGGCCCAGACUCCUACGGGAGGCAGCAGUGGGGAAUAUUGGGCAAUGGGGGAAACACUGACCCGGCAACGCCGCGUGAAGGAAGAAGGCCUUCGGGUGUUAAACUUCUUUUAGCAGGGACGAAGGACGUGACGGUACCUGCAGAAAAAGCAACGGCUAACUACGUGCCAGCAGCCGCCGUAA